RNAcentral lists this ribosomal RNA (434 nucleotides) under uncultured bacterium. Its description in RNAcentral is "partial 16S ribosomal RNA". It matches the Rfam family "Bacterial small subunit ribosomal RNA", at positions 29 to 507 of the family's 1533-position model. The record is from RNAcentral.
AGCGAACGCUGGCGGCAGGCCUAACACAUGCAAGUCGAUCGAACCUUUCGGGGUUAGUGGCGGACGGGUGAGUAACACGUGGGAACGUGCCUUUAGGUUCGGAAUAACUCAGGGAAACUUGUGCUAAUACCGAAUGUGCCCUUCGGGGGAAAGAUUUAUCGCCUUUAGAGCGGCCCGCGUCUGAUUAGCUAGUUGGUUGAGGUAAUGGCUCACCAAGGCGACGAUCAGUAGCUGGUCUGAGAGGAUGAUCAGCCACAUUGGGACUGAGACACGGCCCAAACUCCUACGGGAGGCAGCAGUGGGGAAUCUUGCGCAAUGGGCGAAAGCCUGACGCAGCCAUGCCGCGUGAAUGAUGAAGGUCUUAGGAUUGUAAAAUUCUUUCACCGGGGACGAUAAUGACGGUACCCGGAGAAGAAGCCCCGGCUAACUUCGUG